GACGAACGCUGGCGGCGUGCUUAACACAUGCAAGUCGAACGGAAAGGCCCUGCUUUUGUGGGGUGCUCGAGUGGCGAACGGGUGAGUAACACGUGAGUAACCUGCCCUUGACUUUGGGAUAACUUCAGGAAACUGGGGCUAAUACCGGAUAGGAGCUCCUGCUGCAUGGUGGGGGUUGGAAAGUUUCGGCGGUUGGGGAUGGACUCGCGGCUUAUCAGCUUGUUGGUGGGGUAGUGGCUUACCAAGGCUUUGACGGGUAGCCGGCCUGAGAGGGUGACCGGCCACAGUGGGACUGGGAUACGGCCCAGACUCAUACGGGAGGCAGCAGUGGGGAAUAUUGCACAAUGGGCGGAAGCCUGAUGCAGCAACGCCGCGUGCGGGAUGACGGCCUUCGGGUUGGAAACCGCUUUCGCCUGUGACGAAGCGUGAGUGACGGUAAUGGGUAAAGAAGCACCGGCUAACUACGU
Molecule: ribosomal RNA, 467 nt
Filed under: uncultured bacterium
Lineage: Bacteria
Description: partial 16S ribosomal RNA
Rfam family: Bacterial small subunit ribosomal RNA
Source: RNAcentral